GGUGAGAUGGCCGAGCGGUCUAAGGCGCUGCACUCAAGUUGCAGUCUAUUCAUUUAGGCGGGGGUUCGAAUCCCCCUCUCAUCA
RNAcentral lists this transfer RNA (84 nucleotides) under Pestalotiopsis fici W106-1. RNAcentral describes it as "tRNA-Leu (CAA) (tRNA-Leu-CAA-2-1)". It matches the Rfam family "tRNA". Rfam says of the family: Transfer RNA (tRNA) molecules are approximately 80 nucleotides in length. Their secondary structure includes four short double-helical elements and three loops (D, anti-codon, and T loops). Further hydrogen bonds mediate the characteristic L-shaped molecular structure. tRNAs have two regions of fundamental functional importance: the anti-codon, which is responsible for specific mRNA codon recognition, and the 3' end, to which the tRNAs corresponding amino acid is attached (by aminoacyl-tRNA synthetases). tRNAs cope with the degeneracy of the genetic code in two manners: having more than one tRNA (with a specific anti-codon) for a particular amino acid; and 'wobble' base-pairing, i.e. permitting non-standard base-pairing at the 3rd anti-codon position. Lineage: Eukaryota; Fungi; Ascomycota; Sordariomycetes; Amphisphaeriales; Sporocadaceae. The record is from RNAcentral.